This 497-nucleotide ribosomal RNA is filed under the name uncultured bacterium. RNAcentral describes it as "partial 16S ribosomal RNA". It matches the Rfam family "Bacterial small subunit ribosomal RNA", at positions 28 to 507 of the family's 1533-position model. The record is from RNAcentral.
GAUGAACGCUGGCGGCGUGCCUAAUACAUGCAAGUCGAGCGAACGGACGAGAAGCUCGUUCCUCUGCUGUUAGCGACGGACGGGUGAGUAACACGUGGAUAACCUACCUCUAAGACUGGGAUGACUACGGGAAAACGCAGCUGCUAACGGCUCAUAUUAUGUACCGCAUGAUUCAAGAGUGCAAGAGGGUCUUGCUGUCACUUAUAGCUGGAUCCGCGCUGCAUUAGCUAGUUGGUAAGGUAACGGCUUACCAAGGCAACGAUGCAUAGCUGACCUGAGAGGGUGAUCAGCCACACUGGAACUGAGACACGGUCCAGACUCCUACGGGAGGCAGCAGUGGGGAAUCUUCCGCAAUGGGCGAAAGCCUGACGGAGCAACGCCGCGUGAGUGAUGAAGGUCUUCGGAUCGUAAAGCUCUUUUAUUAGGGAAGAACAUAUGCGGAAUUAUCUGUGCAUAUCUUGACGGUACCUAAAGAGUAAGCCCCGGCUAACUUCGUG